CCCUUAGACGUUCUGGGAUGCACGCGCGUUACACUGAUUCGUUCAACGAGUUUAUGACCUUGCCUGAUGAGGUGGGGGAAUCUUUUCAAAUCGCAUCGUGAUGGGGAUAGAGUAUUGUAACUGUUAGUCUUCAACGAGGAAUUCCUAGUAAGUACGUGUCAUCAGCUCGUACUGAUUAUGUCCCUGCCCUUUGUACACACCGCCCGUCGCUCCUACCGAUUGAGUGCUCAGGUGAAUAGUAUGGACUGCAUCAGUGUUCGGUCUCCGAAUGUUGACGCGAGAAAUUCUGUGAAUCUUAUUGCUUAGAGGAAGGAGAAGUCGUAACA
RNAcentral lists this ribosomal RNA (326 nucleotides) under uncultured eukaryote. RNAcentral's name for it is "partial 18S ribosomal RNA". It matches the Rfam family "Eukaryotic small subunit ribosomal RNA", at positions 1470 to 1796 of the family's 1831-position model. The record is from RNAcentral.